Molecule: ribosomal RNA, 382 nt
Filed under: uncultured bacterium
Lineage: Bacteria
Description: bacterial SSU rRNA
Rfam family: Bacterial small subunit ribosomal RNA
Source: RNAcentral
AUUGAACGCUGGCGGAAUGCUUUACACAUGCAAGUCGAGCGGUAGAGGGGGCAACCCCUCGAGAGUGGCGAACGGGUGAGUAAUAUAUCGGAACGUGCCCAGUCGUGGGGGAUAACGUAGUGAAAAUUACGCUAAUACCGCAUACGAUCUAAGGAUGAAAGCGGGGGAUCGCAAGACCUCGCGCGAUUGGAGCGGCCGAUAUCAGAUUAGGUAGUUGGUGGGGUAAAGGCUCACCAAGCCAACGAUCUGUAGCUGGUCUGAGAGGACGACCAGCCACACUGGAACUGAGACACGGUCCAGACUCCUACGGGAGGCAGCAGUGGGGAAUUUUGGACAAUGGGCGCAAGCCUGAUGCAGCCAUGCCGCGUGUAUGAAGAAGGCC